RNAcentral lists this ribosomal RNA (626 nucleotides) under Lactococcus sp. 138. Its description in RNAcentral is "bacterial SSU rRNA". It matches the Rfam family "Bacterial small subunit ribosomal RNA", at positions 180 to 794 of the family's 1533-position model. The record is from RNAcentral. Lineage: Bacteria; Bacillati; Bacillota; Bacilli; Lactobacillales; Streptococcaceae.
UAGAGAUUGCAUAAUCUUUAUUUGAAAGUGCCAACUGGUACACUAUGAGAUGGACCCGCGUUGUAUUAGCUAGUUGGUAGUGUAAUGGACUACCAAGGCGAUGAUACAUAGCCGACCUGAGAGGGUGAUCGGCCAAAUUGGGACUGAGACACGGCCCAAACUAAUACGGGAGGCAGCAGUAGGGAAUCUUCGGCAAUGGACGAAAGUCUGACCGAGCAACGCCGCGUGAGUGAAGAAGGUUUUCGGAUCGUAAAACUCUGUUGUUAGAGAAGAAUGUUGAUUAGAGUGGAAAAUUAAUCAAGUGACGGUAUCUAACCAGAAAGGGACGGCUAACUACGUGCCAGCAGCCGCGGUAAUACGUAGGUCCCGAGCGUUGUCCGGAUUUAUUGGGCGUAAAGCGAGCGCAGGUGGUUUAAUAAGUCUGAUGUAAAAGGCAGUGGCUCAACCAUUGUGUGCAUUGGAAACUGUUAGACUUGAGUGCAGUAGAGGAGAGUGGAAUUCCAUGUGUAGCGGUGAAAUGCGUAGAUAUAUGGAGGAACACCGGUGGCGAAAGCGGCUCUCUGGACUGUCACUGACACUGAGGCUCGAAAGCGUGGGUAGCAAACAGGAUUAGAUACCCUGGUAGU